This 206-nucleotide unclassified non-coding RNA is filed under the name Hevea brasiliensis (rubber tree). Lineage: Eukaryota; Viridiplantae; Streptophyta; Magnoliopsida; Malpighiales; Euphorbiaceae. The record is from RNAcentral.
GGUGGUCUUAUACCGUUUGUAUCCAACUAUAAUAGAACUACCGCGGCCUCUGUUAAUGAUGGUACAUAUAUUGGAUUUAUGUUCUUCAUGGCUAUCGGAACGGUUCUUUCAUUAGCGAUUUUGCAUCCUAGUAAGGUCAUUAGAAACGAUGGUUCUUCGUGUACUAAUAUCAAGUACUCGAGUGUGUCUGUGGAAUUAAUUCAAAU